Molecule: ribosomal RNA, 550 nt
Filed under: uncultured marine picoplankton
Lineage: Eukaryota
Description: SSU rRNA
Rfam family: Eukaryotic small subunit ribosomal RNA
Source: RNAcentral
AGCGUAUAUUAAAGUUGUUGCGGUUAAAAAGCUCGUAGUUGGAUUUCUGUUGAGAGCGACCGGUCCAUACCAUGUAUGUGUAUCUGGCUUGCUCUCGGCAUCCUCUCGAUAGACGUUGCUGCGCUUGAUUGCGUGGCGCGGAUCUCGGGACUUUUACUUUGAGGAAAUUAGAGUGUUCACGGCAGGCUUUCGCCAGAAUACAUUAGCAUGGAAUAAUACUAUAGGAUCUUGGUUCUAUUUUGUUGGUUUCUAGAAUUGAGAUAAUGAUUAAUAGGGACAAUUGGGGGCAUUCGUAUCAACACGUCAGAGGUGGAAUUCUUGGAUUGUGUUGCGACGAACUACUGCGAAAGCAUUUGCCAAGGAUGUUUUCAUUGAUCAAGAACGAAAGUAAGGGGAUCGAAGAUGAUUAGAUACCGUCGUAGUCUUUACCACAAACUAUGCCAACUAGAGAUGGGUCAUCGUUCAUAUACGACUUGAUCCGCACCUUAUGAGAUAUCAAAGUCUUUGGGUUCCGGGGGGAGCAUGGUCGCAAGGCUGGAACUUAAAGGAA